GUCUAUGCUAUACCUCCCUGAAUGCAUCUAUCUCCUCAGAUCUUGGAAGCUAAGUGGGGUUGGUCCUGGUUAGUACUUAGAAGGGAGAUGACUUGGGGCUACUGGGUGCUAUAGGCU
RNAcentral lists this ribosomal RNA (117 nucleotides) under Castor canadensis (American beaver). Lineage: Eukaryota; Metazoa; Chordata; Mammalia; Rodentia; Castoridae. The record is from RNAcentral.